UCCUUAUCUGCAAAAACAGAAUAACAGCACUAACGAUUGCAGCCAAAGGAGAGCAAAAAUAUAGCAGAAACAUCUAGAGGAAAUUAUUUUCUAUUUUCUAUUUAUUUUAUUUCUUCUUAUUCGGUUAUGAAAGGCCGAAUAUGCUUACUGUAAAGAGAGGAGGAGAUUACGCAUGCAAAUCGGUGCUAAAAGUUUGAAUAAAAAAGACAGUUUCCAAGAGAACUUGAAAUUGUACCGUCUAGAGGAAGAGGAUCCAUGCGCCGACCCGUUUCGUGGCCCAGAUCCGUGCCUUUUUACCUUGAAUGGUCAAAUUCACGCGUGGUCCUUUUACUUUGAUGAGCCAUUCAAUCGCGCCUUAUUUAUGUUUUCUUUGAUUUUUCUAGAUUAUCCCCGAAAUUUGCGCGUUUACUCAUUCUAGUCCGCGCUUUAAACGUUUCGUUUUGGAAUAUUGGUCCAUUUUCUUUUUUAAUCCUCGGUUGCUUGCACACAUUUAAUUUUGGUCCUUGAUACUGUUUUAACAAUUUGAUUUAUUUAUAAAUUAUUCUUCUAAUUUUAUUUUUAUUCCAA
Molecule: long non-coding RNA, 567 nt
Organism: Gossypium arboreum
Lineage: Eukaryota; Viridiplantae; Streptophyta; Magnoliopsida; Malvales; Malvaceae
Exons: 2
Source: RefSeq, a predicted model, not a curated record